The sequence is a transfer RNA, 74 nucleotides long. It matches the Rfam family "tRNA". Rfam says of the family: Transfer RNA (tRNA) molecules are approximately 80 nucleotides in length. Their secondary structure includes four short double-helical elements and three loops (D, anti-codon, and T loops). Further hydrogen bonds mediate the characteristic L-shaped molecular structure. tRNAs have two regions of fundamental functional importance: the anti-codon, which is responsible for specific mRNA codon recognition, and the 3' end, to which the tRNAs corresponding amino acid is attached (by aminoacyl-tRNA synthetases). tRNAs cope with the degeneracy of the genetic code in two manners: having more than one tRNA (with a specific anti-codon) for a particular amino acid; and 'wobble' base-pairing, i.e. permitting non-standard base-pairing at the 3rd anti-codon position.
GGCGCCUUGGCCGAGUGGCGAGGCAGCGGCCUGCAAAGCCGUUCACACCGGUUCGACUCCGGUAGGCGCCUCUA